UAGGGAAUCUUCGGCAAUGGACGGAAGUCUGACCGAGCAACGCCGCGUGAGUGAAGAAGGUUUUCGGAUCGUAAAGCUCUGUUGUAAGAGAAGAAUGAGUGUGAGAGUGGAAAGUUCACACUGUGACGGUAUCUUACCAGAAAGGGACGGCUAACUACGUGCCAGCAGCCGCGGUAAUACGUAGGUCCCAAGCGUUGUCCGGAUUUAUUGGGCGUAAAGCGAGCGCAGGCGGUUAGAUAAGUCUGAAGUUAAAGGCUGUGGCUUAACCAUAGUACGCUUUGGAAACUGUUUAACUUGAGUGCAAGAGGGGAGAGUGGAAUUCCAUGUGUAGCGGUGAAAUGCGUAGAUAUAUGGAGGAACGCCGGUGGCGAAAGCGGCUCUCUGGCUUGUAACUGACGCUGAGGCUCGAAAGCGUGGGGAGCAAACAGGAUUAGAUACCCUGGUAGUCCACGCCGUAAACGAUGAGUGCUAGGUGUUAGACCCUUUCCGGGGUUUAGUGCCGCAGCUAACGCAUUAAGCACUCCGCCUGGGGAGUACGACCGCAAGGUUG
This 550-nucleotide ribosomal RNA is filed under the name uncultured bacterium. RNAcentral's name for it is "bacterial SSU rRNA". It matches the Rfam family "Bacterial small subunit ribosomal RNA", at positions 355 to 896 of the family's 1533-position model. The record is from RNAcentral.